Long non-coding RNA from Acipenser ruthenus (sterlet), 1804 nucleotides. RefSeq lists it as uncharacterized. Lineage: Eukaryota; Metazoa; Chordata; Actinopteri; Acipenseriformes; Acipenseridae. The transcript is spliced from 3 exons. The record is from RefSeq and is a predicted model, not a curated record.
AGGCUGGCACGUGGGCUGUAAAUUAUGAGUGAUUAUAAUAAAAACGACAUCACCACAGCACAGCGUGGCUACAAACGCUACCUGGCUGACCAAAUGGCUGUUCCAGGAAGAACACUUAGACGAUGGAAAAGGAUAAGGCAAGUAGCUUCACUAGUGUUUAAUUUAUUAAAGCUGUUCAGUCAUAAUACGAUAGUAUAUAUUCUAAACCUUUAUUUUUAUUUUAUAGGAACAAGGAACAAUCAAGUCAAGCAGAAACAACGUUGAGUAAAGUAUUUCAACCUAGGCUGUACAUAAUAUUAUUAUUAUUAUUAUUAUUAUUAUUUAUUUCUUAGCAGACGCCCUUAUCCAGGGCGACUUACAAUUGUUACAAGAUAUCACAUUAUACAUUAUACAGAUUACAUUAUUUUUACAUACAAUUACCCAUUUAUACAGUUGGGUUUUUUUUUUUUUUUUUUUACUGGAGCAAUCUAGGUAAAGUACCUUGAGUCAAGGAUACAACACAACAGCAGUGUCCCCUACUGGGGAUUGAACCCACAACCCUCCGGUCAAGAGUCCAGAGCCCUAACCACUACUCCAGGCACAGUUAAAACCUGUUAAAAUGAUAGUAAAAGAAGUGAAAUAACGAGAUCUACUAUUUGUUUUGUAGAAUAAAUAGAAAGCGCUACAAAUGAUUUAGGAUUAAUUCUGAAGGAAGUAGUUAAUUUUCAAACGGCCGUGUUUGGUAGUUGAUUGUACAUUACUGUGUGGCUUAUUCUGUGUAUAAUAUUUUUUGUACUUUGUUAAAUGCAAUUGAUUUACUGUUUAUGUGUGGGUGUGCGUCUGUAGGGUUCUUUAACACAUGACGAGAUUCGUACUGUAAGCAACACUGAAGAUGAUGACAGUCUAGAAACUGAUGAAGACGUUGAUGUACCAGAAUCCAGUAAUCGAACGGGAACGGGAACCUGAAAUAACCCCAAGUGAACAGGAGAAUGCAGAUCUUGAGUCAAUUACAUGGAACAGGACAUUGAGAAUCCUGGCAGUGAACCUUUUCAUUCUCUUGAUGAAUCUACACAAGAAAAGUACCUGCAAGAGGAUGACAAAGUGUAUUCGUCUCAACAACAGAAUGGCCUGCUGCUCAUGGCUUUGAAAAUGAAGCACAAGCUUACCAAGGAAGCAGUCUCUGACAUGCUGGACAUUAUUAAUCUAUUGGCUGGUAAAGACACUGUACCACAAUCUUGGUACCACUUAGAAAAACCAUUUGAAGGUUUAAAAUAUUUUGUAGAAAUACAUCAUGUUUGCAAUUUCUGUGAAUCUUACUUAGGUAAAGAAACGCACUUACUGUGAGAAAGAAUGGAUAGAGCAAAGGAGUCUGAAAGAAGGAAACUUUUUCUUUCAUUUGCCUUUACAUGCACAGAUCAAAGCAUUUUUAGAGGACCCUGAAUUGUCACAAAAGGUAGUAAGAAAUAGACAUGGCUUCCAGUCACAGACAUUCUGUGACAUAACAUUGUUUAUGCCAGCUGGUACACAGAUAGUGACCAGGCAUCCUGCAUUCCUUUUGCUAUGAAAAUGUUCUUUCAGAUCUUACACUGUAUAGAUAGGAACUCCCGUUCUCUCACCACGGCUAACUUGGUUCGAGGAACUACCGUUCCUUUCGAUUUAUGAAAAACGCCACAGGUACAAUUGUAAUAAUGUUGUAUAUAAAAGGCAGUUGUUAAAAUUCUUGUUAAAUUUUAGCCUCUGCUUAUACAUGUUUCAAACUACCAUGUGUUUUUUCUGUGCAAUGUAUUUGACCUACAAAUGUACAAUAAACAGUAAGAAAGUCAAA